UUUAAUAUAAAUUUAGUACAGCAAUAUUUAUUGUACUGAUACUUUCAACAUCAAACAAAACUAAUAACAAAUAAGAUUUAUUCUACAUGAUAUUUUUUGAUUUUUUUUUUUAAAUAAAACAAGUAAUUUCUACAAUAUUUGAAGGCAAACGUAGAAAUUAUUUUUGACGGUUACUAAAAUUUUAUGAUCGCACCGCAAGAGACUAAGGGACAAUGAAUCACCGCUUGUUUUGUUGUUUUCUUAAAAGAUUUUAUUUUCAUCGAUUAAAUUAAUGUUUUAAAA
This 282-nucleotide long non-coding RNA is filed under the name Lathyrus oleraceus (garden pea). RNAcentral's name for it is "Pisum sativum (pea) long non-coding RNA (PSAT_LNC001830)". The record is from RNAcentral. Lineage: Eukaryota; Viridiplantae; Streptophyta; Magnoliopsida; Fabales; Fabaceae.